RNAcentral lists this ribosomal RNA (261 nucleotides) under uncultured archaeon. RNAcentral describes it as "partial 16S ribosomal RNA". It matches the Rfam family "Archaeal small subunit ribosomal RNA", at positions 748 to 1009 of the family's 1478-position model. The record is from RNAcentral.
UAGCCGUAAACGAUACUCGCUAGGUGUCGGCCACGGUGCGACCGUUGUCGGUGCCGUAGGGAAGCCGUGAAGCGAGCCACCUGGGAAGUACGGCCGCAAGGCUGAAACUUAAAGGAAUUGGCGGGGGAGCACCACAACGGGUGGAGCUUGUGGUUUAAUUGGAUUCAACGCCGGAAAUCUUACCGGGACCGACAGCAACAUGAAGGCCAGGCUGAAGACUUUGCCGGAUUAGCUGAGAGGAGGUGCAUGGCGUAGUCGUGU